CAUUCUGUUAGUGUAAUUAAUCAAAAUGGUUGGUAACAGCAUAGACAUGAAAAAAAGUACGCUCUAUUUUUUUUCACUAAAUGUCUUGAAAUUUCUUUUCUCUACACUGUCGUUCAAGAAACGAGGCGUUUUAAAUGUAAAGAUUACCUUGCAUUUUUGAAAUCAACACUGACUGAUUCAAUAUUCAUAGGGAGAAUAAUUUAACGACUGAUUUAAGUAGCGGUAACAGGAUAGACAUGAACCUCCUGUACGCUGAUUGAAUUUAGUUUGUAGAUAAUCUGUUACAUACAAUGAUAAAGAAGCUACGAUUUUUCGUUAGAAUUAUAAUUAACGUUCUUAGAAAGUCCCUUUUGCAGAUAUCAAGGCGAUCAGAAAAUCAGAAAAAAAUCAUUUGAAAUGUGUUUUUCUGACAAUGUACGCACACAAAUACCCCCAAAAUCGGCC
Molecule: long non-coding RNA, 444 nt
Filed under: Mytilus galloprovincialis (Mediterranean mussel)
Lineage: Eukaryota; Metazoa; Mollusca; Bivalvia; Mytilida; Mytilidae
Source: RNAcentral